GACGAACGCUGGCGGCGUGCUUAACACAUGCAAGUCGAACGGAAAGGCCCUGCUUUUGUGGGGUGCUCGAGUGGCGAACGGGUGAGUAACACGUGAGUAACCUGCCCUUGACUUUGGGAUAACUUCAGGAAACUGGGGCUAAUACCGGAUAGGAGCUCCUGCUGCAUGGUGGGGGUUGGAAAGUUUCGGCGGUUGGGGAUGGACUCGCGGCUUAUCAGCUUGUUGGGGGGGUAGUGGCUUACCAAGGCUUUGACGGGUAGCCGGCCUGGGAGGGUGACCGGCCCCCUUGGGACUGAGAUACGGCCCAGACUCCUACGGGAGGCAGCAGUGGGGAAUAUUGCACAAUGGGCGGAAGCCUGAUGCAGCAACGCCGCGUGCGGGAUGACGGCCUUCGGGUUGUAAACCGCUUUCGCCUGUGACGAAGCGUGAGUGACGGUAAUGGGUAAAGAAGCACCGGCUAACUACGU
This 467-nucleotide ribosomal RNA is filed under the name uncultured bacterium. Its description in RNAcentral is "partial 16S ribosomal RNA". It matches the Rfam family "Bacterial small subunit ribosomal RNA", at positions 28 to 506 of the family's 1533-position model. The record is from RNAcentral.